AAAGCUUUUGUGGUUUUGGAUGGACUCGCGGCCUAUCAGCUUGUUGGUGGGGUAAUGGCCUACCAAGGCGACGACGGGUAGCCGGCCUGAGAGGGUGACCGGCCACACUGGGACUGAGACACGGCCCAGACUCCUACGGGAGGCAGCAGUGGGGAAUAUUGCACAAUGGGCGCAAGCCUGAUGCAGCGACGCCGCGUGAGGGAUGAAGGCCUUCGGGUUGUAAACCUCUUUCAGUAGGGAAGAAGCCUGUCCUUUUGGGUGGGUGACGGUACCUGCAGAAGAAGCGCCGGCUAACUACGUGCCAGCAGCCGCGGUAAUACGUAGGGCGCAAGCGUUAUCCGGAAUUAUUGGGCGUAAAGAGCUCGUAGGCGGUUUGUCGCGUCUGCCGUGAAAGUCCGGGGCUUAACUCCGGAUCUGCGGUGGGUACGGGCAGACUAGAGUGCAGUAGGGGAGACUGGAAUUCCUGGUGUAGCGGUGAAAUGCGCAGAUAUCAGGAGGAACACCGAUGGCGAAGGCAGGUCUCUGGGCUGUAACUGACGCUGAGGAGCGAAAGCAUGGGGAGCGAACAGGAUUAGAUACCCUGGUAGUCCAUGCCGUAAACGUUGGGCACUAGGUGUGGGGGACAUUCCACGUUUUCCGCGCCGUAGCUAACGCAUUAAGUGCCCCGCCUGGGGAGUACGGCCGCAAGGCUAAAACUCAAAGGAAUUGACGGGGGCCCGCACAAGCGGCGGAGCAUGCGGAUUAAUUCGAUGCAACGCGAAGAACCUUACCAAGGCUUGACAUGAACCGGAAUGAUGCAGAGAUGUGUCAGCCACUUGUGGCCGGUUUACAGGUGGUGCAUGGUUGUCGUCAGCUCGUGUCGUGAGAUGUUGGGUUAAGUCCCGCAACGAGCGCAACCCUCGUUCCAUGUUGCCAGCGGGUUAUGCCGGGGACUCAUGGGAGACUGCCGGGGUCAACUCGGAGGAAGGUGGGGACGACGUCAAAUCAUCAUGCCCCUUAUGUCUUGGGCUUCACGCAUGCUACAAUGGCCGGUACAAAGGGUUGCGAUACUGUGAGGUGGAGCUAAUCCCAAAAAGCCGGUCUCAGUUCGGAUUGAGGUCUGCAACUCGACCUCAUGAAGUUGGAGUCGCUAGUAAUCGCAGAUCAGCAACGCUGCGGUGAAUACGUUCCCGGGCCUUGUACACA
This 1185-nucleotide ribosomal RNA is filed under the name Arthrobacter sp. BMG5745. Its description in RNAcentral is "bacterial SSU rRNA". It matches the Rfam family "Bacterial small subunit ribosomal RNA", at positions 202 to 1389 of the family's 1533-position model. Lineage: Bacteria; Bacillati; Actinomycetota; Actinomycetes; Micrococcales; Micrococcaceae. The record is from RNAcentral.